UGGUGGUAUCAAAAUAAAAAUAAAAGAUCAUGCACAACAUUCAUGUUUAUUUUCCCAUGUUAUAAAUAGAAAAUUCAAAAAGAGACAACUCAUAAUCCUGCCAUAGAAUCUAUUAAAUUAAAAAUCAACUCAUCGGUAUAAUCAGUUACUCAUUGGCUAACCAUUAACCUCUAUCGUAUUUGAGCCUUGAGUGUUAGUUUUCUUUUUGGGAGUAUAAUUCUACAGGAUGACAUUACGACAAAGGAGUGAGUAUAUCAGUGAAGCUCAUUAAGGACUUCUGUGGACACAUUUGCUCUAAAGAUCAUUCAAGUCAACCCAUAACAAACAUCUAGCUUAGGGGAGUGCAUCCCCUAGUUAUUAGGUAAUUAUACCUAAGCGAUUAUCGAGUCUUUCUUAUAGUCAUAAAAUACCAAAAAAAAUUAAAACCAAAGAAACAUACUUAGUGUAUUAUUAAGGUUUGGUUAUAGAGUGUGUCUACUAUCUAUUUUGUUUAGAGUCAAAUAAAAUAUGAUGAACAUUAAAAUUUUUUCUUAGAAGUGAUGAAUAGUCGCUCUGAUUAUUCUCAAGUGCCUAGUUUUCAACCAUAAAUUCUCUUGAGUUUUUGAUAUUACUGUUUUGAUAUAAGAAUUUGCUCUGAACUUAAAACUUGUGGAGGCAUGUGCUUGAGCUCAGUCUAGGUGAUUGAUUGAUAUGACUCAUGAAAGUCUGAGAUACUGUUAUCUUAUUCCUAGCUAUACUAUGUUCUGGAGAUUUAUUUUGAAAACUCAAAACCUUACAUGAUGAGCUCUUGUAUGACAAAAAUUUAAUUUCCUACCAAAGCCAAAUACUAUAUAAUUAGAUUAGGAAAACUUUUGAUCAUUCAUGCUACUUAUUUAAAAUUGAGUUUAGUCAACCUUUGUUGUAUACCUUAUAAGAGUUUUGUCAUGCUUUUAAAACCAAGAUCACGUACACACUCCACUCACAAAUGCAUUAUUCAUACACUAGGAGUAAGCGCAAUCACUUUCCACUUUUGUCUAGAUACCACCUUAAAAAUGUUUUUUGUCCUACCCUAGGAGUGAACACCCAAAAAUAAACCCAUAGGAUAAACCUCUGUUUAAUUGCUCUAUGUUCUUAUUGAUAUCUCUCUGAAUUAUUUCUUAUUCUAAGGAUGCAUGUGGCUAUGCAAAAGUAAAAAAGAAAGAAAAAGGGAGUAAAAGAUGGACAAGUGUCCUAGAAAUUAAAACAAUGGGAACUUAGAUGCCCGCCUCCCUAAUUAAAAAAAAGAAGAAAAGAAAGAAAUGAAUAAAGGUAGCCCAUGUUUUCCUAUGGAAAAGUUCUGAGUCCUUACAAGAGAGGCAUUAUUUUAUAGAAGAGCCAAAUUAGAAUAAGUUUUAGCCACCAUAUAUGCAUAUACACCUAUCCACCAUAAUCCACACACAUGCACAUCUUGGUUUGAUUGUAUGCCUUAACUCUCUUUGGAUGCAUUGUUUGACUUUAUAAUAUAUGAAUUGCAUGUAUGCUCAUCCUUUUCAUUGCCACUCCUAUAAACUCCACUAUUAAAUACUUAGCUAUAGGAAGGUAUAACAUUAUGAUUACCUUUUGUGAUACCCAUAAAUACCGUAUACAAAGAGACUUAAGGAUGUCAUACAAUUAAGCUCUGAGUUUUAUUUUGAAAACAUCUAACAAACUCUGAAAUUUUUGGAACUACGAAAAAUUGGAGACAUGGUGCGUAGACUUCAUUGUUCUAUCUUUUGAUUGCUCAAGGCCCAUAUGAAAGCUAGAAGCCCCAUGGUUAAAGGUAAAAUGGGUAAGUUUGGAAGUUGGAGUGGUUUUGUCUAAAUCUGGAGAAGGAUUUCUAUUUAAAGCAUGUGUAUUUGAAAGCCAUUAAAGCAUUGUAGCAACUCCUGAUCCAAGUUUAUUAGUAAUUAGGCUUUUCUUAGGGACCGGC
This 1927-nucleotide long non-coding RNA is filed under the name Sorghum bicolor (sorghum). Its description in RNAcentral is "long non-coding RNA (SBIC_LNC008631)". Lineage: Eukaryota; Viridiplantae; Streptophyta; Magnoliopsida; Poales; Poaceae. The record is from RNAcentral.